Molecule: long non-coding RNA, 296 nt
Organism: Rhododendron vialii
Lineage: Eukaryota; Viridiplantae; Streptophyta; Magnoliopsida; Ericales; Ericaceae
Exons: 3
Source: RefSeq, a predicted model, not a curated record
AUACAGGCCCCCUUCCCUUUGUUACUUUUCCUCUCUCCCCAUCGCUCCCUCUCUCUCUCCCCGCUACUCUCGUCAACAACAACGAUGGCGGCGGGGACAGCAAAAUCGACGACGGCAGUGGAAACGAACAACUCGAUGACGGCACCAAAAUCUUUUGGGUUUUCCGGUUUCGGGACAGAUCUGUGAGGUUAGGAGUGGGCAAGACAAAAAAAUCUGAUUUGCUUGAGUUGAAGACUUUGUAUGACUUACCAGUUCUCUAACAAAGGCGACGCGAGGAGGAGCGGGAGGAGGAGAAG